GUCAUUCGGUCAUCACCGUCGAACUUUAGGGUGCAUUGGAAGCAGUGGCGUAUAUAGAGGGCUGGCAGGGGCCUCGACCUCCCCUAAAAUAGAAAAUUAUCCAUGUAAUACCCAAUUUGUACCCGGCCCAUACCAGAUAAACAAAUAAAUGAAAACAGUCCAUAGAGUCCAAAUUACAAGUAGGCCCACAAGGCCCAAACCAAAACAAAGUGGUGGCCCAAAUUACAGUGGCCCGAAACAGAUGGAAAACCCUAGGGUUUCUAAGCUUCAGCCGCCGC
This 278-nucleotide long non-coding RNA is filed under the name Gossypium raimondii (Peruvian cotton). RNAcentral's name for it is "long non-coding RNA (GRAI_LNC004766)". The record is from RNAcentral. Lineage: Eukaryota; Viridiplantae; Streptophyta; Magnoliopsida; Malvales; Malvaceae.